RNAcentral lists this ribosomal RNA (562 nucleotides) under uncultured bacterium. RNAcentral describes it as "partial 16S ribosomal RNA". It matches the Rfam family "Bacterial small subunit ribosomal RNA", at positions 355 to 909 of the family's 1533-position model. The record is from RNAcentral.
UGGGGAAUUUUGGACAAUGGGCGAAAGCCUGAUCCAGCAAUGCCGCGUGUGUGAAGAAGGCCUUCGGGUUGUAAAGCUCUUUUGUCCGGAAAGAAAUCCUUGGCUCUAAUACAGUCGGGGGAUGACGGUACCGGAAGAAUAAGCACCGGCUAACUACGUGCCAGCAGCCGCGGUAAUACGUAGGGUGCAAGCGUUAAUCGGAAUUACUGGGCGUAAANGCGUGCGCAGGCGGUUUGCUAAGACCGAUGUGAAAUCCCCGGGCUCAACCUGGGAACUGCAUUGGUGACUGGCAGGCUAGAGUAUGGCAGAGGGGGGUAGAAUUCCACGUGUAGCAGUGAAAUGCGUAGAGAUGUGGAGGAAUACCGAUGGCGAAGGCAGCCCCCUGGGCCAAUACUGACGCUCAUGCACGAAAGCGUGGGGAGCAAACAGGAUUAGAUACCCUGGUAGUCCACGCCCUAAACGAUGUCAACUAGUUGUUGGGGAUUCAUUUCCUUAGUAACGUAGCUAACGCGUGAAGUUGACCGCCUGGGGAGUACGGUCGCAAGAUUAAAACUUAAAGGAA